Molecule: transfer RNA, 62 nt
Filed under: Cordylochernes scorpioides
Lineage: Eukaryota; Metazoa; Arthropoda; Arachnida; Pseudoscorpiones; Chernetidae
Description: tRNA-Ser
Rfam family: tRNA
About the family: Transfer RNA (tRNA) molecules are approximately 80 nucleotides in length. Their secondary structure includes four short double-helical elements and three loops (D, anti-codon, and T loops).
Source: RNAcentral
GCAUCGGUGAUUCAGUGGUAGAAUACUCGCCUGCCACGCGGGUUCGAUUCCCGGCCGAUGCA